AGUGAACGCUGGCGGCAGGCCUAACACAUGCAAGUCGAGCGGCAGCGGGUCCUUCGGGAUGCCGGCGAGCGGCGGACGGGUGAGGAAUGCAUCGGAAUCUGCCCUGUCGUGGGGGAUAACCUAGGGAAACUUAGGCUAAUACCGCAUACGACCCACGGGUGAAAGCGGGGGAUCGCAAGACCUCGCGCGAUAGGAUGAGCCGAUGUCCGAUUAGCUAGUUGGCGGGGUAAAGGCCCACCAAGGCGACGAUCGGUAGCUGGUCUGAGAGGAUGAUCAGCCGCACUGGGACUGAGACACGGCCCAGACUCCUACGGGAGGCAGCAGUGGGGAAUAUUGGACAAUGGGCGCAAGCCUGAUCCAGCCAUGCCGCGUGGGUGAAGAAGGCCUUCGGGUUGUAAAGCCCUUUUGUCCGGGAAGAAAUCGUCUGGGCUAAUACCCCGGGCGGAUGACGGUACCGGAAGAAUAAGCACCGGCUAACUUCGUG
Molecule: ribosomal RNA, 484 nt
Filed under: uncultured bacterium
Lineage: Bacteria
Description: partial 16S ribosomal RNA
Rfam family: Bacterial small subunit ribosomal RNA
Source: RNAcentral